GUUCUCCCUGACUCCUUGAGAGUCCUGAAGGAACGUUGAAGACGACGACGUUGAUAGGCCGGGUGUGUAAGCGCAGCGAUGCGUUGAGCUAACCGGUACUAAUGAACCGUGAGGCUUAACCUUACAACGCCGAAG
This 135-nucleotide ribosomal RNA is filed under the name Escherichia coli. RNAcentral describes it as "partial 23S ribosomal RNA". It matches the Rfam family "Bacterial large subunit ribosomal RNA", at positions 2808 to 2925 of the family's 2925-position model. The record is from RNAcentral. Lineage: Bacteria; Pseudomonadati; Pseudomonadota; Gammaproteobacteria; Enterobacterales; Enterobacteriaceae.